RNAcentral lists this long non-coding RNA (1464 nucleotides) under Macaca fascicularis (crab-eating macaque). RNAcentral describes it as "lncRNA (ENSMFAG00000063285.1)". The record is from RNAcentral. Lineage: Eukaryota; Metazoa; Chordata; Mammalia; Primates; Cercopithecidae.
AAAACAAACCCAGAAACACGUUAACUAAGACUGGGAAUUCACACAUGUGCCUAUAGAGAAAGACAGUUACUUCUCCAGCAUUUUGUCUUUCACAGUCACCUAGAAAUCUGGAGCCUGGUACAGGACUGCACUUGUUAUUAAAUAAUGUAGCUGCAAGUACAUAAACUAUACCAAAACAUCACUGUGGCUUCAUGUGGCUAUUUAAAUUUAAAUUAAUUAAAAUUAAAAACCAGAUACUCAGUUGCACCUGCCGCAUUUUAAGUACUCACUGGUCACAUGUGGUGAAUGACUAUUGUAUGGGACGGGUCGGACAAGAAGCAUUUCCAUCAUCACAGAAAGUUCUGGAUGGUGUUGGUAUACCGCACAAAUUGGCUUGCUGUUUUUUUUUUCUACCUGCCCAGGAGUCAUGGAGAUUAAAGUGAAAUUACAGACUGAUGUAAAAAAUUUGCACAUAGGUCCCUAACCCAGGAACAUGAGACCAUUUUAAAAAAUGGUUUGGAGACAAACUGAUUGCUCACCCUAGGUUAAACUCCCCAUCAUGACUGAUAGGCAAACUGACAAAAAUAGAGUUCAGUUGAGUGACAGUUAAGGAUUUAAAAUCCAAGGCAUUGAAUAGAACAAUGGGAGCACUGUAUUCAUUCUGUUUCUUUUUUCUCCCACUCUCAAAUUUUAGUUUAAUGGCUGAGUCAGGUAGGUUAAAUGUGUGCGACAGAGUGUAUUCUGUUUUAUGUGACUAUAAAGGGCACAUGCUGAAAUGUAGAAUAUUAAUAUGUAAAUCAAUGCAAUUUUUCAUAAUAGAUAUAUAAUUAAAGUGCUUAAGCAAUAGCAAAUGCAGCAGGUAUUUUGAUCACUUUUUAAUUCUAUAGCCCUUCAUCUGAUCACUGUGCUUCUCUCUUCUUAUUCCGUUAUGCCCACAAUAGAAGUUCUGUUGAUGGGGCACAACUCAUGAUCUCAGAAACUGGGGUGGUUCCUUUUUGAAGGCUGCUGCUCAAUUGCCUCAAAUAUUAGGUAAUACAUACAAAAUUAUGGAUAAUUUGUUCUUCAGUAGGAUUUUUUGUAAGAAAAGAUAUUAUUUUUCCUGGAAAGAUUUUGUGUGUUACUCUUGAUAUAUUUCUCUUGGAUCUAUUUUUAUUUUCUUCAUAAUUAAAAUUUUGAGAGUGUUAUUGGCUGGGUGCAGUGGCUCAUGCCUGUAAUCCCAACACUCUGGGAGGCCAAGGUGGGUGGAUCACUUGAGGUCAGUAGAUCGAGACCAGCCUGGCCAACAUAGCAAAACCCUCUUUCUACUAAAAUAAAAUUAGCCAGGCAUGGUGGCAUGUGCCUGUAAUUUCAGCUACUCGUGAGGCUGAGGAACAUGAAUUGCUUGAACCUGGGAGGCUGAGGUUUCAGUGAGCCGAGAUCGUGUCACUGCACUUGCCUUGGUGACAGAGUGGGACUCCGUCUCAGAAAAAAAAAAAAAAAAAAAAA